RNAcentral lists this ribosomal RNA (588 nucleotides) under Bacillus sp. CH91b_3T. Its description in RNAcentral is "bacterial SSU rRNA". It matches the Rfam family "Bacterial small subunit ribosomal RNA", at positions 60 to 632 of the family's 1533-position model. The record is from RNAcentral. Lineage: Bacteria; Bacillati; Bacillota; Bacilli; Caryophanales; Bacillaceae.
AGUCGAGCGGAAGAAGGGAGCUUGCUCCCGGAUGUUAGCGGCGGACGGGUGAGUAACACGUGGGUAACCUGCCUGUAAGACUGGGAUAACUCCGGGAAACCGGAGCUAAUACCGGAUAGUUCCUUGAACCGCAUGGUUCAAGGAUGAAAGACGGUUUCGGCUGUCACUUACAGAUGGACCCGCGGCGCAUUAGCUAGUUGGUGAGGUAACGGCUCACCAAGGCGACGAUGCGUAGCCGACCUGAGAGGGUGAUCGGCCACACUGGGACUGAGACACGGCCCAGACUCCUACGGGAGGCAGCAGUAGGGAAUCUUCCGCAAUGGACGAAAGUCUGACGGAGCAACGCCGCGUGAGUGAUGAAGGUUUUCGGAUCGUAAAGCUCUGUUGUUAGGGAAGAACAAGUGCAAGAGUAACUGCUUGCACCUUGACGGUACCUAACCAGAAAGCCACGGCUAACUACGUGCCAGCAGCCGCGGUAAUACGUAGGUGGCAAGCGUUGUCCGGAAUUAUUGGGCGUAAAGGGCUCGCAGGCGGUUUCUUAAGUCUGAUGUGAAAGCCCCCGGCUCAACCGGGGAGGGUCAUUGGAAA